RNAcentral lists this unclassified non-coding RNA (664 nucleotides) under Hevea brasiliensis (rubber tree). Lineage: Eukaryota; Viridiplantae; Streptophyta; Magnoliopsida; Malpighiales; Euphorbiaceae. The record is from RNAcentral.
CUUUUCUCUCUCUAUAUGUUGAUAAAAAUUCAGCCAUGAUUAAUUUUCCAAUCUCUCUCAGAUAUUCAUCAUUAGCCCUUUUCAAACAAGCCAUUUCUGCUAAUCCUUGGCCUAAUUCCCUCUGAAACAAAUCUCUAUUUCUCCUCUGUUUUCUAUAAUUAUCAUAAUUUUGUGUUGGAUUUACAGGAUUAGGGAUUAAUUAAUCAAAGAUCAUGGGUGGUGGAGAGAGAAGUAUACUUCACUUUCCACACCUCCAUAUUCCUCAAAGUGGAAAGAGUAAACAGGGUAAAAGAGAUGUUCCUAAAGGAUACCUGGCGAUUAAAGUAGGGCAAGCAGAGGAAGAGCAACAGCGAUUCAUCGUCCCUGUUUCUUACUUCAAUCAUCCGCUUUUCAUUCAAUUACUCAAAGAGGCGGAAGAAGUUUAUGGAUUUCAUCACAAGGGAACCAUUACGAUUCCUUGUCAUGUUGAACAAUUUCGAUGUGUUCAAGGCAAAAUUGAUAAACACCAUACCCAUCUUCAUGUGCCGUGUUUUAGGGCAUGAGAUUCAAUUUUUUGUUGUUGUUGCUGCUUUCGGUGGAGUCGGUUAGUGAUAAUGAGGACAAACUUUUUCUGUUUCGGUUUCUGGAUGGUUUGUUAUGGGUCACUGGAGUUGUUAGCUCAAGG